ACUAACAAUUCUGUAAUUGUAAAUAAUCAAAAAUCUAAAAAGCAACACUUACUUUAUCAAAUGUUCUGAGGUGUUUCUCCUUUUUUUUUUUUUUUUUUUUUUUUAGAUUUUUUGAAAAUUUAUUUAUUUGUGAGAGACAGAAGGAGGCAGAGACACACAGGCAGAGAGAGAAGCAGGCUCCAUGCAGGGAGCCUGAUGCAGGACUCGAUCCCAGGACUCCAGGAUCACACCCGGGCCGAAGGCUGGCACUCAACCGCUGAGCCAUCCAGGUGUCCCUGAGCUGCUUCUCUUGAAGAGAUGUAUAUGUCUAUGGCUCAAUGUUAGAGAGAGUAAGUCAGGAGAGGAGCAGAGGAAGAAAACUUCCAGCUGACUCUCUGCUAAGUGUGGAGCCCCAUGUGGGCCUUGACCUUACAAUCCAUGGGAUCACUGACCUGAACUGAAAUCAAGAGUCCAACACUUAACCAACUGAGCCACUCAGGCAUCCACAAUGGAUUCUUAAAAACUGACAUCAGGUAGUCUCAAACUAUACGAAGAAACAAGUUGUUUGGAGAAUGUGCUUAUUUAUCAUGCAAAGGACAUUAUUCACAGUCAUUAGAAUUUUAAAGUUAUCUUCUGAAUAUAAAAAUAUGUUACACACAUUUAUAAAGAUCUCAGGGAAAAUUUAGGUUGAUAUGAAUAUUGUAUGAAAUUAUUAUAUGGGAUUGAACAAUUCAGUACAUGCUCUUAGAGACAUUUUAAUGUUGAAGUUGCUUUUAAGAAUUAUUAACUAGUGAAUAAUUAAAAUGUUGUCAGAAUGGAUUCAAGGCCAAUUAGUUUGGUUGCAGAUAAAAGGGCCUAAGAAAUCCAUGACUGCCAACAAGGGCAAUUAAUAGGAUUUAUUUGCAUGGUGUAAAAAAAAAAAAAAUUCAGCAUGGGUACCAAAAUGUACAUCUUCUAGAAUAUAGCAAUUUAGCUUUCAUGCCCAAAUUGGAAAUAUAAUACUAACAUAAAUGAAUCCAAUAAUGAGGUGCAGUUAAGUAAUGGCAUAGUAAUAAUAUCUGACAUUUGUAUAUGCUUUAUUUCUUUUCAAUUAAUUUUAUAGCUCUUUUAUCCAGAUUACUGGACCUAAAACCUGUUUGUAACAGUUUAUACAGGUUCUAGUGUCCUUCACUUUGAAUGGAUUGAUUUAUGAAUUUCAAACAACCAAACUGACAUUUUUACGCCAAAUAAACUGGUUAUUUGGCUAAACCCACGGACUCGACCUAUCGCCGUGGUGACAAGCAGAUACUCUCUG
Molecule: long non-coding RNA, 1273 nt
Filed under: Canis lupus familiaris (dog)
Lineage: Eukaryota; Metazoa; Chordata; Mammalia; Carnivora; Canidae
Description: lncRNA (ENSCAFG00000055968.1)
Source: RNAcentral